CUAGUGACAUAUGGCUUCUAGGUGUGUGCUAUAAGAUUUCACAAGAUGAGUCCUCCGGGGAUGCAGCUGCAAGCAAUGGAUUAGCUGCAUUCACACAUGAUUUUUCUUCGCGAAUUUUAUUGACAUAUCGAAGAGGUUUCGAUGCAAUUGGAGAUUCAAAAUUUAUCAGUGAUGUGGGCUGGGGUUGCAUGCUUCGAAGCAGUCAGAUGCUUGUUGCUCAGGCAUUGCUUUUUCAUCAUUUGGGGAGAUCUUGGAGAAAACCUUUACAGAAGCCAUUGGAUCAUCAAUAUGUUGAGAUCUUGCACCUUCUUGGUGACUCUGAGGCAUCACCAUUCUCUAUCCACAAUCUUAUCCAUGCUGGGAAGGCUUAUAGCCUUGCAGCUGGGUCAUGGGUAGGCCCAUAUGCUGUGUGCCACUCCUGGGAGUCGCUUGCCCGCUCCAAGAGAAAGGACAACCUUGAAUACCAGCUACUUCCAAUGGCUGUUUAUGUUGUUUCUGGUGAUGAAGAUGGGGAAAGGGGUGGAGCUCCAGUUGUCUGCAUCGAAGAUGCCUCUAGACAUUGUUUAGAGUUUUCUGGAGGUCAAGCAAAUUGGACACCGAUUCUUCUGUUGGUUCCUUUGGUUCUUGGACUUGAAAAAGUAAAUCCAAGGUAUAUUCCAUCUUUGCAGGCAACAUUUACUUUUCCCCAAAGCCUUGGCAUUAUGGGCGGGAAACCUGGUGCCUCAACAUACAUUGUUGGUGUGCAAGAUGACUGUGCUUUUUACCUUGAUCCACAUGAUGUUCAACCGGUGGUCAAUAUUAGCAGAGAUGGCAUGGAGGCAGACACUUCAUCUUAUCACUGCGAUGUCAUACGGCACAUCCCCCUGGAUUCCAUUGAUCCAUCAUUGGCAAUCGGAUUUUAUUGUCGAGACAAAGAUGAUUUUGAUGGAUUUUGUUCUUUGGCAUCCGAGCUGGCAGAUGACUCGCACGGUGCACCAUUGUUUACUGUGGCUCAUACCCGUAAAUUGCCAAAGCAAGUUGGCCAUGGCACUUUAAAUGAAAAUGAUGAGAUUGAAGAGGAUGAUUCCUUUGGUGUAAUGCCCAUGAAUGACGCAGAGGGUUGUGCACAGGAGGAUGAGUGGCAACUGCUUUAAUCAGUGUUCAUUUUGCAGAUUCGAAACUUGUACAUGUUUUGGCCUGAAAUGGGCUUAGUAUACCAAUUCCACAACAUCUCUUGUUAACAGCACUAGUCAACUGUGUUUCUUUUCAUUGUCUCUCGUGGUUCAACAUUUGUAGAAAAAAGUACAAUGGAACUCUUCAAUAUUUAUGAUUCUUUCAGGUAAUAAAAUUUGUAAGAUAAUGGAAUUGGUAUACUAAGCCCAUUUCAGG
RNAcentral lists this unclassified non-coding RNA (1368 nucleotides) under Hevea brasiliensis (rubber tree). The record is from RNAcentral. Lineage: Eukaryota; Viridiplantae; Streptophyta; Magnoliopsida; Malpighiales; Euphorbiaceae.